RNAcentral lists this ribosomal RNA (293 nucleotides) under uncultured bacterium. RNAcentral describes it as "partial 16S ribosomal RNA". It matches the Rfam family "Archaeal small subunit ribosomal RNA", at positions 455 to 747 of the family's 1478-position model. The record is from RNAcentral.
GUGCCAGCGGCCGCGGUAAUACCGGCAGCGCAAGUGAUGGCCGAUCUUAUUGGGCCUAAAGCGUCCGUAGCUGGCCAGGCAAGUCCAUCGGGAAAUCCACCCGCUCAACGGGUGGACGGCCGGUGGAACCUGCCAGGCUUGGGACCGGAAGACCCAACGGGUACGUCCAGGGUAGGAGUGAAAUCCCGUAAUCCUGGACGGACCGCCGAUGGCGAAAGCACGUUGGGAAGACGGAUCCGACAGUGAGGGACGAAAGCUAGGGUCUCGAACCGGAUUAGAAACCCCAGUAGUCU